RNAcentral lists this long non-coding RNA (547 nucleotides) under Apis mellifera (honey bee). RNAcentral's name for it is "uncharacterized LOC107965780, transcript variant X1". Lineage: Eukaryota; Metazoa; Arthropoda; Insecta; Hymenoptera; Apidae. The record is from RNAcentral.
AUAUUGAGUUUUUAUAAGAAUAGAGAUUUUAACUUUUUAAAAAAUACAACAUUUUUUAAACAUUUCAAGCAACGUGAUUACGUAUUAAUUGAAACAUGUAUUUACUUUAAAAUCGAUACGUUCAAAAUGAAAAGGGAGCUUAUCAAUGUAAAUUAUACAAUAUUGAAUCCGGGUGUGAAUCCGAUUAUGUUAUUUAAGAAUAUGUGAAUAUGCAUAUCUAUGUAUGUAACAUGAAUUUACAAUAAUAUAAUAUUUUGCAUAGCAGAAAACUUCGUGAAGUGUAAUAUAUUAUAAUUUUGAGAGUACGAAUGUCGAUAAUAAUCUCUUAUGGAAAAUAAUGACGUAUACAUGGCACAUGUGGUAUAUAAAUUAUUUCACCGUUUCUAGAGCAGCAAAUCGGGAACUAACAAAUUAGUUCUUUUUCUGCUAAGAUUGAAUGAAUGUGAGGUGUUCGAAAUUAAUUUAUUAUUUAUCUUUGGAAGAAGAAACAGAUCAAGGAAAAGAGAAAGAGAUAAAUCAAGAGAAGAGAGGUGCAAUAAUAUCUUUU